Molecule: ribosomal RNA, 329 nt
Filed under: uncultured Solirubrobacterales bacterium
Lineage: Bacteria; Bacillati; Actinomycetota; Thermoleophilia; Solirubrobacterales
Description: bacterial SSU rRNA
Rfam family: Bacterial small subunit ribosomal RNA
Source: RNAcentral
CGAACGCUGGCGGCGUGCUUAACACAUGCAAGUGGAGCGACGAACCAGGGCUUGCCUUGGGGCAGAGCCGCGAACGGGUGAGUAACACGUGGGUUACCCGCCUCGAUGACCGGGACAACCCGAGGAAACUCGGGUUAAUACCGGAUGUGCCCGCAAGGGGAAAGGAAGCUUUGGCCUCCGCAUCGAGAUGGGCCCGCGGCCCAUUAGUCUUGUUGGUGAGGUAAUGGCUCACCAAGGCGACGAUCAGUAGCUGGUCUGAGAGGACUGAUCAGCCACUUUGGGAUUGAGACACGGCCCAAGGUCCUACGGGAGGCAGCAGUGGGAUCUCG